AUACGUAGGGGGCAAGCGUUGUCCGGAAUUACUGGGCGUAGAGGGUGCGUAGGCGGCCGAUCAAGUCAGAUGUGAAAUACCAGGGCUUAACCUUGGGGGUGCAUUUGAAACUGGUUGGCUUGAGUGCAGGAGAGGAAAGUGGAAUUCCUAGUGUAGCGGUGAAAUGCGUAGAGAUUAGGAGGAACACCAGUGGCGAAGGCGACUUUCUGGACUGUAACUGACGCUGAGGCACGAAAGCGUGGGGAGCGAACAGGAUUAGAUACCCUGGUAGUCCACGCCGUAAACGAUGGAUACUAGGUGUAGGGGGUAUCGACCCCCCCUGUGCCGGAGUUAACGCAAUAAGUAUCCCGCCUGGGGAGUACGGCCGCAAGGUUGAA
Molecule: ribosomal RNA, 377 nt
Filed under: uncultured bacterium
Lineage: Bacteria
Description: bacterial SSU rRNA
Rfam family: Bacterial small subunit ribosomal RNA
Source: RNAcentral